Molecule: ribosomal RNA, 791 nt
Filed under: uncultured archaeon
Lineage: Archaea
Description: bacterial SSU rRNA
Rfam family: Archaeal small subunit ribosomal RNA
Source: RNAcentral
ACGGCUCAGUAACACGUGGAUAACAUGCCCUAAGGUGGGGGAUAAUCUCGGGAAACUGAGGAUAAUACCCCAUAGGUCUAGAAUGCUGGAAUGCUUUUAGGCUCAAAACUCCGGUGCCUUAGGAUUGGUCUGCGGUCUAUCAGGCAGUAGUGGGUGUAACGGACCCACUAGCCCGUGACGGAUAUGGGCCUUGAGAGAGGGUGCCCAGAGAUGGACUCUGAGACAUGAGUCCAGGCCCUACGGGGCGCAGCAGUCGCGAAAACUUCGCAAUGGGGGAAACCCCGACGAGGGAAUUCCAAGUGCCAGCACUUUGUGUUGGCUGUUCUUCUGUCUAAAAAACAGGAGAAGUAAGGGGCGGGUAAGACGGGUGCCAGCCGCCGCGGUAAUACCCGCGCCCCGAGUGGUGGUCGAUAUUAUUGAGCCUAAAACGUCCGUAGCCGGUCUUCUAAAUCCUUGGGCAAAUCGGGCAGCUUAACUGUCCGAAUUCCGGGGAGACUGGGAGACUUGGGACCGGGAGAGGUCAGAGGUACUUCUGGGGUAGGGGUAAAAUCCUGUAAUCCUGGAAGGACCACCGGUGGCGAAGGCGUCUGACUAGAACGGAUCCGACGGUGAGGGACGAAGCCCUGGGGCGCAAACGGGAUUAGAUACCCCGGUAGUCCAGGGUGUAAACGCUGCGGGCUUGGUGUUGGGGGUCCUUAGUGGGCGCCCAGUGCCGGAGAGAAGUUGUUAAGCCUGCUGCUUGGGGAGUAUGUCCGCAAGGAUGAAACUUAAAGGAAUUGGCGGGGGAGCAC